Molecule: transfer RNA, 75 nt
Filed under: Caudoviricetes sp.
Lineage: Duplodnaviria; Heunggongvirae; Uroviricota; Caudoviricetes
Description: tRNA-Thr
Rfam family: tRNA
About the family: Transfer RNA (tRNA) molecules are approximately 80 nucleotides in length. Their secondary structure includes four short double-helical elements and three loops (D, anti-codon, and T loops). Further hydrogen bonds mediate the characteristic L-shaped molecular structure. tRNAs have two regions of fundamental functional importance: the anti-codon, which is responsible for specific mRNA codon recognition, and the 3' end, to which the tRNAs corresponding amino acid is attached (by aminoacyl-tRNA synthetases). tRNAs cope with the degeneracy of the genetic code in two manners: having more than one tRNA (with a specific anti-codon) for a particular amino acid; and 'wobble' base-pairing, i.e. permitting non-standard base-pairing at the 3rd anti-codon position.
Source: RNAcentral
GCCUCCGUAGCUCAAUAGGCAGAGCAACUCACUUGUAAUGAGAAGGUUGUAGGUUCGAUUCCUAUCGGAGGCUCA